AGAAUCAACGCUGGCGGCGUGCCUAACACAUGCAAGUCGAACGAGAAAGUGGAGCAAUCCAUGAGUAAAGUGGCGACCGGGUGAGUAACACGUGACUAACCUACCUUCGAGUGGGGGAUAACCUCGGGAAACCGGGGCUAAUACCGCAUAAAAUCUUUGGAUCGGAAGAACUGGAGAUCAAUGGAGCAAUUCGCUUGAAGAGGGGGUCGCGGCUGAUUAGCUAGUUGGCGGGGUAAUGGCCCACCAAGGCUUUGAUCGGUAGCCGGCCUGAGAGGGCGCACGGCCACACUGGAACUGAAACACGGUCCAGACUCCUACGGGAGGCAGCAGUGGGGAAUUUUGCGCAAUGGGGGAACCCUGACGCAGCAACGCCGCGUGGAGGAUGAAGUCCCUUGGGACGUAAACUCCUUUCGACCGGGACGAUUAUGACGGUACCGGUGGAAGAAGCCCCGGCUAACUUCGUGCCAGCAGCCGC
This 475-nucleotide ribosomal RNA is filed under the name uncultured bacterium. Its description in RNAcentral is "SSU rRNA". It matches the Rfam family "Bacterial small subunit ribosomal RNA", at positions 26 to 518 of the family's 1533-position model. The record is from RNAcentral.